Salvia splendens (bonfire salvia) is the source of this 74-nucleotide non-coding RNA. NCBI's taxonomy places the organism in Eukaryota, Viridiplantae, Streptophyta, Magnoliopsida, Lamiales, Lamiaceae. The record is from the annotation of a RefSeq genome assembly.
GCUGUCUUAGCUCAGUUGGUAGAGCGCGUGGUUUUUAACCACAUGGUUGCGGGUUCGCUUCCCCACAGACGGCG